RNAcentral lists this ribosomal RNA (318 nucleotides) under uncultured Anaerolineaceae bacterium. Its description in RNAcentral is "bacterial SSU rRNA". It matches the Rfam family "Bacterial small subunit ribosomal RNA", at positions 1050 to 1382 of the family's 1533-position model. The record is from RNAcentral. Lineage: Bacteria; Bacillati; Chloroflexota; Anaerolineae; Anaerolineales; Anaerolineaceae.
UGUCGUCAGCUCGUGUCGUGAGAUGUUCGGUUAAGUCCGCUAACGAGCGCAGCCUCGUCGUAUGUUAUAUGUGUCAUACGAGACUGCCGGUAAAAAGACCGGAGGAAGGUGAGGAUGAUGUCAAGUCAGCAUGACCUUUAUAUCCAGGGCUACACACACGCUACAAUGGUCUGUACAAUGGGUAGCCAAGCCGCGAGGCGGAGCCAAUCCUGAAAGCAGGCCUCAGUUCAGAUUGCAGUCUGCAACUCGACUGCAUGAAGCCGGAGUUGCUAGUAACCGCAGGUCAGCAAUACUGCGGUGAAUACGUUCCCGGGUCUU